GGCGGGGUAGCUCAGUUGGUUAGAGCUGUGGAUUCAUAAUCCAUGUGUCGGGAGUUCAAAUCUCCCCCUCGCUACCA
RNAcentral lists this transfer RNA (77 nucleotides) under Magnetococcales bacterium. RNAcentral describes it as "tRNA-Met". It matches the Rfam family "tRNA". Rfam says of the family: Transfer RNA (tRNA) molecules are approximately 80 nucleotides in length. Their secondary structure includes four short double-helical elements and three loops (D, anti-codon, and T loops). Further hydrogen bonds mediate the characteristic L-shaped molecular structure. tRNAs have two regions of fundamental functional importance: the anti-codon, which is responsible for specific mRNA codon recognition, and the 3' end, to which the tRNAs corresponding amino acid is attached (by aminoacyl-tRNA synthetases). tRNAs cope with the degeneracy of the genetic code in two manners: having more than one tRNA (with a specific anti-codon) for a particular amino acid; and 'wobble' base-pairing, i.e. permitting non-standard base-pairing at the 3rd anti-codon position. The record is from RNAcentral. Lineage: Bacteria; Pseudomonadati; Pseudomonadota; Magnetococcia; Magnetococcales.